GGCUUUGUGAAUAAAGACCUCCCCCCUUCUCCCCUCCCUUCCUCCCCUCACACUCACCCUUCCCUCCCUGUGUCUGCUGUCCCCUCACACCUCGUCUCCCCUUUUACACUUUCUUCAUUAGGCAGCAGUAGUCCAAGAUCUGUUACCCCUGGGCGUUCCCUCUUGUUGGCCACAUGAGCCCCUGCACCAUGGCUCCCCUCUUACUCCAGCACUCUGUCUUCUCUGCUCCCCAGUGUCUCCUCUGCUUUUCCCCAGUAUAUUAUCCCACUAUUACUCUUCUCCUCUAUUAUCUCCACCAUCCAGCUCCCACCCUCCUCCCCUAUCCCUUCCCCUCCUGAUGCUGCUGGACAGCUCCUAGACUAGAAGCAGCAGGCGGGAUGAACCAACUGCUGACACGAGGGGGUGAGGCAUCACUGGGAAGAAAACCCAGGCGGGCUGUACCAUUCCAUGGCUUGGGGCCAGGCAGAGCAGUUUCUCAUGGCACCUCUUUCAUGUGCUCUUCAUACAAAGGGUCCCAUCAUUCUGGAAUGCAGCCCCAAAAAAAGACAGAUAUUAAGACAUCAGCAACCACCACAGCAGAUUAUCAAGGAGCAGCCUGGGUGAGAAUAGCUGGUAUGCUGAAAUCUGGAACUGUGCCAUCAUAAAUGAUCUGAUAAGUACUGGUUGUUGAAAAACUGGGCUAUAACAGGUAGAAUGCGUAAUCUUCAGG
Molecule: long non-coding RNA, 709 nt
Organism: Pseudophryne corroboree (corroboree frog)
Lineage: Eukaryota; Metazoa; Chordata; Amphibia; Anura; Myobatrachidae
Exons: 3
Source: RefSeq, a predicted model, not a curated record